This 996-nucleotide ribosomal RNA is filed under the name uncultured bacterium. Its description in RNAcentral is "bacterial SSU rRNA". It matches the Rfam family "Bacterial small subunit ribosomal RNA", at positions 355 to 1375 of the family's 1533-position model. The record is from RNAcentral.
UGGGGAAUAUUGCACAAUGGGGGAAACCCUGAUGCAGCGACGCCGCGUGGAGGAAGAAGGUCUUCGGAUUGUAAACUCCUGUUGUUGGGGAAGAUAAUGACGGUACCCAACAAGGAAGUGACGGCUAACUACGUGCCAGCAGCCGCGGUAAAACGUAGGGUGCAAGCGUUGUCCGGAAUUACUGGGUGUAAAGGGAGCGCAGGCGGACCGGCAAGUUGGAAGUGAAAACUAUGGGCUCAACCCAUAAAUUGCUUUCAAAACUGCUGGCCUUGAGUAGUGCAGAGGUAGGUGGAAUUCCCGGUGUAGCGGUGGAAUGCGUAGAUAUCGGGAGGAACACCAGUGGCGAAGGCGACCUACUGGGCACCAACUGACGCUGAGGCUCGAAAGCAUGGGUAGCAAACAGGAUUAGAUACCCUGGUAGUCCAUGCCGUAAACGAUGAUUACUAGGUGUUGGAGGAUUGACCCCUUCAGUGCCGUAGUUAACACAAUAAGUAAUCCACCUGGGGAGUACGACCGCAAGGUUGAAACUCAAAGGAAUUGACGGGGGCCCGCACAAGCAGUGGAGUAUGUGGUUUAAUUCGAAGCAACGCGAAGAACCUUACCAGGUCUUGACAUCCGAUGCAUAGUGCAGAGAUGCAUGAAGUCCUUCGGGACAUCGAGACAGGUGGUGCAUGGUUGUCGUCAGCUCGUGUCGUGAGAUGUUGGGUUAAGUCCCGCAACGAGCGCAACCCUUAUUGCCAGUUACUACGCAAGAGGACUCUGGCGAGACUGCCGUUGACAAAACGGAGGAAGGUGGGGAUGACGUCAAAUCAUCAUGCCCUUUAUGACCUGGGCUACACACGUACUACAAUGGCGUUUGACAAAGAGAAGCAAGACCGCGAGGUGGAGCAAAACUCAAAAACAACGUCUCAGUUCAGAUUGCAGGCUGCAACUCGCCUGCAUGAAGUCGGAAUUGCUAGUAAUCGCGGAUCAGCAUGCCGCGGUGAAUACGUUCCC